CCCCAGACUCCUACGGGAGGCAGCAGUGGGGGAUAUUGCACAAUGGGGGAAACCCUGAUGCAGCGACGCCGCGUGAGUGAAGAAGUAUUUCGGUAUGUAAAGCUCUCUCAGCAGGGAAGAAAAAAGACGGUACCUGACUAAGGAGCCCCGGCUAACUACGUGCCAGCAGCCGCGGUAAUACGUAGGGGGCGAGCGUUAUCCGGAUUCACUGGGUGUAAAGGGAGCGUAGACGGCCAAGCAAGCCAGGGGUGAAAGCCCGGGGCCCAACCCCGGGACUGCCCUUGGAACUGCAUGGCUGGAGUGCGGGAGGGGCAGGCGGAAUUCCUGGUGUAGCGGUGAAAUGCGUAGAUAUCAGGAGGAACACCGGCGGCGAAGGCGGCCUGCUGGACCGCGACUGACGUUGAGGCUCGAAAGCGUGGGGAGCGAACAGGAUUAGAUACCCCUGUA
This 447-nucleotide ribosomal RNA is filed under the name uncultured bacterium. RNAcentral describes it as "bacterial SSU rRNA". It matches the Rfam family "Bacterial small subunit ribosomal RNA", at positions 329 to 792 of the family's 1533-position model. The record is from RNAcentral.